This 808-nucleotide long non-coding RNA is filed under the name Setaria viridis. Its description in RNAcentral is "long non-coding RNA (SVIR_LNC004726)". Lineage: Eukaryota; Viridiplantae; Streptophyta; Magnoliopsida; Poales; Poaceae. The record is from RNAcentral.
UAACGGCUAGUGGGCUGAAAAAAUCUGACCACCAACGAAGGGAGCUUUAGUCCCAGUUGGAAACACCAACCGGGACAAAACCCACCCUCUUUAGUUUAGUCCCGGUUGGAAUUACCAACCGAGACUAAAGGAGGCUUAUUCCAACCGGGACUAAACUAGAGGGGGGGGGUUGUCCCGGUUGGUGUUUCCAACCAAGACAAAAACUCCUCGCCUAUAAAUUCACCUUCUUCCUCCCCAAGCCCGAGCCACUCAGACCGAGAGCUUUGGGCUCCUUCUCCAUGGCGAGCAAGCAACCUUACGGAGGUGCUACCCGAUUUUUUUUCUCAUUUUCGUGGGGAUUUCACUCAUCCAAAGUGUUAUAAAGGUUAGCUACUUCAUCCUCCCUUCAUUUAUUGUUAUUAUGCUUUGUUUUAUGCUUUAGAGAUAGAGAAAAAUGAGUUUUUUAAAUGAGGGAGAAUGGAGAGGAUUUUUAUUUAUACAUGUUUUUGAGCUAGAUUUGAUGGAUAGUUUGCUUGUUAUAUAUGAUUCAUAUUAGGUAAAGAACUUGAUCAAUAUUAGGUACGGGAAAAAAUAGAGUAAAUGUGUUUUUAAUAUUUAGUUAUUGCAAUAAAAUUAAGGUAAAUAAAUUGUAAGGUAAGAAAUAGAAUCUAGUCAUUGCUACAAUUUUUCAUGUCACUCUAAUUUAACAAUAAUUCUAUUUCUUUGACCAAUAAUUUAUUUAUCUCAUGUUUAUUGCAAAGGCUAAAUAUUAUAAACACAUUUACUCUAUUUUCCCCUACCUAAUAUUGAUCAAGUUCUUUAUCUAAUA